UACGUAGGGGGCAAGCGUUGUCCGGAUUUAUUGGGCGUAAAGAGCGCGUAGGCGGUCAGGGAGGUCCGUUGUGAAAACUCGAGGCUCAACCUCGAGACGCCGAUGGAAACCAUCUGACUAGAGUCCGGAAGGGGAGAGUGGAAUUCCUGGUGUAGCGGUGAAAUGCGCAGAUAUCAGGAAGAACACCCGUGGCUAAGGCGGCUCUCUAGUACGGUACUGACGCUGAGACGCGAAAGCGUGGGGAGCGAACAGG
RNAcentral lists this ribosomal RNA (253 nucleotides) under uncultured bacterium. RNAcentral describes it as "partial 16S ribosomal RNA". It matches the Rfam family "Bacterial small subunit ribosomal RNA", at positions 524 to 776 of the family's 1533-position model. The record is from RNAcentral.